UACGGGGGGGGCAAGCGUUGUUCGGAAUUACUGGGCGUAAAGGGCGUGUAGGCGGUUGGAUAAGUCAGCUGUGAAAACCACGGGCUUAACUCGUGGCCUGCAGUUGAGACUGUCUGGCUUGAGUGUGGGAGAGGAGAGUGGAAUUCCUGGUGUAGCGGUGAAAUGCGUAGAUAUCAGGAAGAACACCGGUGGCGAAGGCGGCUCUCUGGACCACAACUGACGCUGAGGCGCGAAAGCGUGGGGAGCAAACAGG
RNAcentral lists this ribosomal RNA (253 nucleotides) under uncultured bacterium. RNAcentral describes it as "partial 16S ribosomal RNA". It matches the Rfam family "Bacterial small subunit ribosomal RNA", at positions 524 to 776 of the family's 1533-position model. The record is from RNAcentral.